Molecule: non-coding RNA, 608 nt
Organism: Leptonychotes weddellii (Weddell seal)
Lineage: Eukaryota; Metazoa; Chordata; Mammalia; Carnivora; Phocidae
Source: RefSeq, a predicted model, not a curated record
UGCUCUUGACGGUAAUGGCCUUAUGAAGAAGAGGUGCUAUGUGCCCUGCAGUGCUGUGUCCCCUGUUCCCCAGGACCUGACACUUUAGGAGAAGCACAUGCAUUACCCGACUGAAGGAUGGCUGAUUUUCUGUAUCAGCUGCCAUGCUCUGAUGACUUCUAGAAGAGAAGGGAGUGAGACAGGAGGCUGCUGGACUAUCUCCAACAGUGAAUUCCUGGUUUGGAAUGUACUUCUCCUCCACCUAAUCCUGGACUUCAGGGGGUAGGAAGCUGACUCCAUCCAUCCCAAGCACCACCUCGGAAGCCAUGAGUUGAAGAUGCUGGAGGCACCAGAUGGAAGGAACCUGCAUCCUUGAAUUGCUGCUUGGAUGAGAACUGCCUACAAAUCAGGGGCACCUGCUUGGGACUUUAAUGAGCAUUCGAAUUCACCGAGUGUUGAAAAGAGGGUCAAGAGGAACCAAGUGACUCAUGGGACUUUGCUCCCAGGAAGAGAAAAAGGUGGAAGAGGCAGAGAGAAGAGUAAGAGGAGCAACAGAAGGAAGAGAGUAAGCAAGAGAAGGGCAUGAUCUCUUUGGACUUCAUAUUGCUGGUCUGUUAAAGGAAGAUGCG